This 3054-nucleotide long non-coding RNA is filed under the name Homo sapiens (human). RNAcentral's name for it is "HSALNT0325203". Lineage: Eukaryota; Metazoa; Chordata; Mammalia; Primates; Hominidae. The record is from RNAcentral.
ACCUCUGCCUCCCAUCAGGGGUGAAUAAGGCGGAAGCUGAGGGGACAGUCACAGCCAGGACAGGAAUGUCACCCCCAGCUGGCAGACAGCACUCUGAGCAGCCAGGCCUGGGAUCCUCUGACCUGCCCACUUCAGGAGGCCAGUGUGGUCACUGCCACCCCACGGUCUGGGGACCCUGGACUCCAAACUUGCAGAAUGAAUCUUUGGUGAUGAAAGUGAGAAUCUGGGAGAGAUGUGAAAACUGGAAGAGAAACAGGAAGUACCUCCAGGAUUCACCUAAAUAGAUGCUGCGGUUUCUAUCAAACCACAGGCCACCCCAGCAUCUCAGUGGCUUCUAUAGGUUGUCCUGAAAGAGCCAUGAGGCCAGGGCCCUUGAUGGAUUCCCAGAUACCAGCUGCUCCUCCAGACACCAAUUCCACCCUCCACCUUUCUGUGUCCGUCCCAGACCAAGGCAGCCCAGGACUGGUAUCCUUCUAAGAAGAGGAAGGCACAUCAGAGGAGAGGCCAUGUGAGGACACCAUGGGAAGGCGGCCACCUGCAAGCCAAGGAGAGGGGCCUCAGGAGAAACCAGCCCUGCUGACACCCUGAGCUCCUUGCAAUUCCAGCCUCCUAGACUGUGAGAAAAUACACUUGUGUUAUUUAAGCCCCCCAGUCUGUGGUUCUUUGCUGUGGCAGCCCUAAGAAUCUAAUACACAUGCCAACCUGUCUAGGCACAGAUGGCCCAUCUUCAGGGAAAGGAUGCAGGGGGAUCUGCAGGCCUGCCGGGGCUGAACCAGGAAGUUGUGCCCUCAGCAGUGGAGGCAGCCUCUCCCAACCCCAAGCCUCCAGCCCCUCCCCUCGUGACAUGCAUGUUCUGAGUUCAGUCUGUUUCCAAGCUCCUUCCCGUGCCUGUGGAGUCAAUGUCACCCCCAGUCUCAGGGUAUCCUUGCACUGAUACGCUCCACUACACCCUCACACCCACCCCGUGGCUUCCUGAACUGCACCCCCAAGUGAACCACUCUGCAUCUGGCUUCUCCAUCAACCACGUGCCCUGGAGUCCCUCUGAGCUGUCCAUGUGGGCAGCCUCCUUUUGAAGCCUGGAGUGGGUGAGUGUUGAGCAAAAGGUGAUGGCAGGGGCUAGAGCUCAUUUCAUUCCUGAGUAAGGGAAGCUCUAAGAUUCCUUCUGUACCAUAAGUGAGUGCUGCCCUGCCUGGGAGGGUGCACACCCUGCCCUGAGACUACUGCCUCAGAGCAUGGGCAGCUGGUCAACCUAGGCAUUGCCCAUGCCUCCCACAUGGGUGGGGGGCAGCCCCACCGCCCCUCUGUUCAUCUUCCAUUGACCUGUGGAGUCUCAGAGAUCUGUCUUGAUUUUUUUUAGACAGUCUUGCUCUGUCACCCUGGAGUACAGCGGUGCAAUCUCUGCUCAUUGCAACCUCUUCCUCCCAGGUUCAAGUGAUUAUCGUGCGCCAGCCUUCCAAUUAGCUGGGAUCACAAGCAUGCACCACCAUGCCCUGCUAAUUUUUGUAUUUUUAGUAGAGACAGGGUUUCGCCAUGUUGGCCAGGGUGGUCUCAAACUCCUAACCUCAAGUGAUCCACCUGCCUCGGCCUCCCAAAGUGCUGGGAUUGCAGGUGUGAGCCACCACACCCAACCUGUCUUGAUUUAAUAGUCAUUCAAGGUGCUCAUUUCUUGACUGAAUGACUACAAGAGCAGAUAUAAAUGAACACAUGCAAUCAGUCUUGCCCUGGGUCUGAAGUAGGAUUCUCAGCACCAGCGACAUUUGCACUGGAUCAUUCUCUGCGGUGGCACUAGCCUCUGCCCUGCAGGACGUUUAGCAGUACCCCUGGACCCCACCCACUAGACGCCAGCAACAGUUCCCUGCCCCAGUUGUGACAACCAAAAAUGUCCUCGGACAUUACUCCAAGCACCAAGGUUGGGAACCGCUGUUCUCAAGGUUUCCAAAUGCAUCUCACGCCAUAGGUCUAUGCACAGAAUAAAUGAAUCAUUCACUGUUGACCAAUGAAGGCUUUGUUUGGAGACAGGUGUUAUAACAGCAGGAAGAAAACUCCCCAAAGGAAAAGUGUGCUAUCAGCUGAAGCAUCUCCCAAGUCCAGCUCUGCACCCCCACGUGCAUCCCCACACGAACGUGUUGCCAGGAAUCAACCGAACCCCUGUUUCUCUCGCAGAAAAUUGGUGGGAGCAAUCCUCGCUUGCGUGUCAGGAUGCCUGUCCAGCUGCUGCGCUCAGCCUUGAACACCCUCCCGACCUUGGGGCUCUGCUGCCCCACGCGGAGCCCCCAUUUCAACAGAUGCAGACACCCCAAAGCCCCUUCCCAACAGCCCGAAGAGAAGCCCUCCUCUGAAGAGACAGCAGAGAAGCAGAGCCCCCUGGGACGCCCCCCAAGACCUCCACGUCUCCCCAGCACCCGGCGGGGGGGUGGUGCAUGCACUUCCCGUGGCUGCGGGAACAAACUGCCACACACAGGGAGGCUGAACACAGCAGAAGUCUAUUCCACACAGUCCUAGAAGCCAGAGGCAGUGACAUCAAGGUGCUGGACGGCCGCCCUCCCAUCGGAGGCUCUGGGAAGAAUCUGUUCCUUCCUCUUCCAGCUUCCACGACUCAGGGCAGCACCCCUGUAACCUCUGCCUCCAUGGUGAUAUCGCUUCCCCUCUUCUGUGUCAAAUGUCCCCCUGCGUCCCUCUUCACCAGAAUAAUCCCCUCAUCUCAAGUGCCUUAAUUUAAUCACACCUGCAAAGUGUUUGCCGCGUAAAGUAACAAUUACAGUUUCCAGAGAUUAAAACCUGUUAUGUUUGGAGGCCAUUAUUCUACCUACAGAGAGGGGUUGGCUUAGGACACCCAUUCUUGUUGCCGGGUAAAGCUGCCCGGGGGGCCUGGAGGAAGCCUGCUCUGUCUCUUUCAGCCCCCACAGGUACCCCAAGGGGGCCGCCACUGAGGUCCUCGGGCUCUGAUCCAAGUGUGAAGUGAGAGCAAGUUCACUCCUUUCCCUGCUGGCUCUGACACAAGUUUUCCGUGUGGCCAGGGAUGGGUGUGAGCAGCCCAGAGCAGGGGCCGGCCCA